This 175-nucleotide unclassified non-coding RNA is filed under the name uncultured Russulales. Its description in RNAcentral is "sequence contains ITS1". Lineage: Eukaryota; Fungi; Basidiomycota; Agaricomycetes; Agaricales. The record is from RNAcentral.
ACGAAGGACGUCCGGGGUUGACGCUGGCCUUUCGAGGCAUGUGCUCGCCCCGUUCACAUCAUCCCUCUCACACCUGUGCACUCUUGCGUGGGUCGGCGACCUCGCCGGCCUGCGUUUUCUCACAAACACCUUGCAUGUCAAAGAAUGAUCAUCGAUGCUCAUAACGCAUCUCAUA